CCCAACACUGGAGCCUACCUGGGCUCUUUGGAGGAGCUAAUGUCGGACUCUGGGAGGGCUCACACCAAGGAGUACUUCCCGGAACUUCUGCUGCCAGUGUCCUUGUCCCCAUGGUGAGCCACAGCCAUCCCCUGCCUCUGCAGGAGACCCUCCAACACUAGCAGGCCUUGCUACUCAAAGGGCCGUCCCUGCAUCAGAAGCAUCGGCAGUCACCUGGGAGCAAUUUUUCCAGGAUCCCAGGGAUGAGCUCUACCUUGGAAGACCUUGCAGGAUGUGUGGAGAUAUAGAAGAGGUGCAUUCUCGAAAGCUCAUGAUGAAGAAGUCCUGAAGAAGUUCAGAGCCUCUUUCCAAGGUCUGAGUCCAAGGCUCAAACUUGUGUUUUUCCUGUGGCUCAGAGAGCAUAAUUUAAAUGUUCUCCUGCCUUUCUCCUCGAA
This is a long non-coding RNA of Eubalaena glacialis (North Atlantic right whale), 434 nucleotides long. RefSeq lists it as uncharacterized. Lineage: Eukaryota; Metazoa; Chordata; Mammalia; Artiodactyla; Balaenidae. The record is from RefSeq and is a predicted model, not a curated record. The transcript is spliced from 3 exons.